GCCCCAAGGUAAGGAAUAACGUCGAGAAAUCGGCGCUAAUACCUCAUAAUGCAGCGGAUCCGCAUGGAUAUGUUGUUAAAGGGUUUACCGCCUUGGGAUAGGCUUGCGUCUGAUUAGUUAGUUGGUGUGGUAACGGCACACCAAGGCUACGAUCAGUAACUGGUCUGAGAGGAUGAUCAGUCACACUGGAACUGAGACACGGUCCAGACUCCUACGGGAGGCAGCAGUGAGGAAUAUUGGGCAAUGCUCGAAAGAGUGACCCAGCAACGCCGCGUGGAGGAUGAAGGUAUUCUAUAUCGUAAACUCCUGUGAGAGCAGACGAAAGACAGAUUAUUAAUCUGGAUGACUGUAUGCUCAGAGGAAGCCCCGGCUAACUACGUG
This 381-nucleotide ribosomal RNA is filed under the name uncultured bacterium. Its description in RNAcentral is "bacterial SSU rRNA". It matches the Rfam family "Bacterial small subunit ribosomal RNA", at positions 128 to 507 of the family's 1533-position model. The record is from RNAcentral.